RNAcentral lists this ribosomal RNA (694 nucleotides) under uncultured bacterium. RNAcentral describes it as "bacterial SSU rRNA". It matches the Rfam family "Bacterial small subunit ribosomal RNA", at positions 32 to 715 of the family's 1533-position model. The record is from RNAcentral.
AACGCUAGCUACAGGCUUAACACAUGCAAGUCGCGGGGCAGCAUGAAUUUAGCUUGCUAAAUUUGAUGGCGACCGGCGCACGGGUGAGUAACGCGUAUCCAACCUUCCCUUAUCCACGGGAUAGCCCGUCGAAAGGCGGAUUAAUACCGUAUGAGGUCAUUUGAUGGCAUCUGAUUAUGACGAAAGGUUUGGCGGAUAAGGAUGGGGAUGCGUCCGAUUAGCUUGUUGGCGGGGUAACGGCCCACCAAGGCGACGAUCGGUAGGGGUUCUGAGAGGAAGGUCCCCCACAUUGGAACUGAGACACGGUCCAAACUCCUACGGGAGGCAGCAGUGAGGAAUAUUGGUCAAUGGGCGAGAGCCCGAACCAGCCAAGUAGCGUGCAGGAUGACGGCCCUAUGGGUUGUAAACUGCUUUUAUGCGGGGAUAAAGUGAGGGAUGCAUCCCUUUUUGCAGGUACCGCAUGAAUAAGGACCGGCUAAUUCCGUGCCAGCAGCCGCGGUAAUACGGAAGGUCCGGGCGUUACCCGGAUUUAUUGGGUUUAAAGGGAGCGUAGGCUGGAGAUUAAGCGUGUUGUGAAAUGCCGCGGCUCAACCGUGGCACUGCAGCGCGAACUGGUUUCCUUGAGUGCGCUGAAAGUGGGCGGAAUUUGUGGUGUAGCGGUGAAAUGCUUAGAUAUCACGAAGAACUCCGAUUG